RNAcentral lists this ribosomal RNA (2243 nucleotides) under Eucnemidae sp. UPOL RK0355. RNAcentral's name for it is "SSU rRNA". It matches the Rfam family "Eukaryotic small subunit ribosomal RNA". The record is from RNAcentral. Lineage: Eukaryota; Metazoa; Arthropoda; Insecta; Coleoptera; Eucnemidae.
UUGUCUCAAAGAUUAAGCCAUGCAUGUCUCAGUACAAGCCACAUUAAGGUGAAACCGCGAAAGGCUCAUUAAAUCAGUUAUGGUUCCUUAGAUGGUACCCCCACAUUUACUUGGAUAACUGUGGUAAUUCUAGAGCUAAUACAUGCAAACAGAGUUCCGACCGGAGACGGAAGGAUACGCUUUUAUUAGAACAAAACCAAUCGGCAUUUGACAUUCUCCUUCCCUAUUCUAUACUCAACAUGAGUGUGUGUAGGGGUAAAAUGGGGGGGAUGUUACUUUUGUCGUACAUUUUUAUGAAUCUGAAUAAAUUUUUGCUGAUCGUACGGUCUUGCACCGGCGACGCAUCUUUCAAAUGUCUGCCUUAUCAACUGUCGAUGGUAGGUUCUGUGCCUACCAUGGUUGUAACGGGUAACGGGGAAUCAGGGUUCGAUUCCGGAGAGGGAGCCUGAGAAACGGCUACCACAUCCAAGGAAGGCAGCAGGCGCGCAAAUUACCCACUCCCGGCACGGGGAGGUAGUGACGAAAAAUAACGAUACGGGACUCAUCCGAGGCCCCGUAAUCGGAAUGAGUACACUCUAAAUCCUUUAACGAGUAUCAAUUGGAGGGCAAGUCUGGUGCCAGCAGCUGCGGUAAUUCCAGCUCCAAUAGCGUAUAUUAAAGUUGUUGCGGUUAAAAAGCUCGUAGUCGAAUUUGUGUCCCGUGCCGCCGGUUCAUCGUUCGCGGUGUUAACUGGCGUGUAUUGUUUUUCACGGGACGUCCUGCCGGUGGGCUUAGUCGAAACGGAUCGAUGCAGUAUACGUUGUGUUUAUAUGUGUGUGGAUUUUUAUUUCAGUUUCUCUUCCGCCGGGCAUCUGUUUGUGUGGUCACACGAGAGUGUGGCGCGCAGAGAGUGUGUUUCCGGGGGCUUGAGGCUUCUGUGUAAUUAUUUCAUAUAUUGUGUAGACGCAGUCGCGUGUAUUGUGUUCCCGCUAGACGGCCCAACUUAAAAUCCCGCCGCGGUGCUCUUUACUGAGUGUCGAGGCGGGCCGACACGUUUACUUUGAACAAAUUAGAGUGCUUAAAGCAGGCUAAAUUUUGCCUAAAUACUGUGUGCAUGGAAUAAUGGAAUAGGACCUCGGUUCUAUUUUGUUGGUUUUCGGAACGCCCGAGGUAAUGAUUAAUAGGUACGGAUGGGGGCAUUCGUAUUGCGACGUUAGAGGUGAAAUUCUUGGAUCGUCGCAAGACGGACGGAAGCGAAAGCAUUUGCCAAGAACGUUUUCAUUGAUCAAGAACGAAAGUUAGAGGUUCGAAGGCGAUCAGAUACCGCCCUAGUUCUAACCAUAAACGAUGCCAGCUAGCGAUCCGUCGACGUUCCUCCGAUGACACGACGGGCAGCUUACGGGAAACCAAAGCUUUUGGGUUCCGGGGGAAGUAUGGUUGCAAAGCUGAAACUUAAAGGAAUUGACGGAAGGGCACCACCAGGAGUGGAGCCUGCGGCUUAAUUUGACUCAACACGGGAAACCUCACCAGGCCCGGACACCGGAAGGAUUGACAGAUUGAUAGCUCUUUCUUGAUUCGGUGGGUGGUGGUGCAUGGCCGUUCUUAGUUGGUGGAGCGAUUUGUCUGGUUAAUUCCGAUAACGAACGAGACUCUGCCCUGCUAAAUAGGCGUAAAAUAACCGACAUCUCGAAGGCCCGCCAAUUAUUAAUUCUCUUCCUUUCGCGCGAUACUUCUAUUUAUUUCGGAUCAUUUGUUGGGGGAGAGGAGGAUCUUUUGUUUCUCGCAUUUGUUUGGGAGGGCAGAGGGUUUUUUUUUCUUCUACGGUGAUUGGAGGUGGUAGUUGUGUAUGUGUGGGGGUUGAGUGGUUGUGGUUGUGCGCGGUUUUUACUGUCGGCGUAUAAACAAAUCUUCUUAGAGGGACAGGCGGCUUCUAGCCGCACGAGAUUGAGCAAUAACAGGUCUGUGAUGCCCUUAGAUGUUCUGGGCCGCACGCGCGCUACACUGAAGGAAUCAGCGUGUCCUCCCUGACCGAGAGGUCCGGGAAACCCGCUGAACCUCCUUCGUGCUAGGGAUUGGGGCUUGCAAUUGUUCCCCAUGAACGAGGAAUUCCCAGUAAACGCGAGUCAUAAGCUCGCGUUGAUUACGUCCCUGCCCUUUGUACACACCGCCCGUCGCUACUACCGAUUGAAUGAUUUAGUGAGGUCUUCAGACUGGUACACGGUGGCGUUUCGACGUUGCCGAUGCUGCUGGUAAGAUGACCAAAC